This 201-nucleotide long non-coding RNA is filed under the name Gossypium barbadense (sea-island cotton). RNAcentral describes it as "long non-coding RNA (GBAR_LNC002609)". Lineage: Eukaryota; Viridiplantae; Streptophyta; Magnoliopsida; Malvales; Malvaceae. The record is from RNAcentral.
UCUAUCCGGAUUUAUACGAGUAAAUUUAACUCAAUUUAAUAUGAUUCAUAUUCAAUUCAACUUAAUUCACAUCUUAAGGAAAAGUACCAUUUUUCCCCUAUUCUUAAUUAAUUGCAUUUUCGUCCUUAAGCUCGGAAAAUAAAAUUUAUGCAAUUUAGUCAUUAUUCCACGCCUAGCCGAUUUUUACAUAUAACAUUUACA